AGCGUUUAGGUUAGGGUUAGUGUUAGUGUUAGUGUUUGGGUUUGGGUUAUUUAAAAAUAUUUCUAAGUACAGAGUAUGAAAAGUGCCUUUGACUUCAAUCUUCAAACAGAUGUAGAAUGGAUUUGAAUAGAGAUAUCUUCUUAAAAUUAACUGUUCCUAAAAGAUGAUAUGGUGAUCUAGAGGAUGAAAACUUAUUGGUAUCACUGAAGUGUACGGCCGCACUUUCCUACCUCACGGAACAAACG
This 245-nucleotide long non-coding RNA is filed under the name Mytilus galloprovincialis (Mediterranean mussel). The record is from RNAcentral. Lineage: Eukaryota; Metazoa; Mollusca; Bivalvia; Mytilida; Mytilidae.